GGAGGGUAAGGACGCGGGAGACUGGCCCACGGUAUAUAAGGUGCAGCCGAACGACCGUACAGCAUUAUUUGUAAACGUUCGGGGAGGGGGGGUUAUUAGUUCGGCAGUUCUUUGUUUUGUUUUUGCUCGGCCAGAAGAUCGAUUGCAAGCCAGCAUUCUGACAUGGACAAAGUCUAGCUGAACUGUGGACGGGGGCGGCCACCGACCAUCACGGCUGCCUGAAGUCCGGCACCAGCGGCAUGUUCUGCCGCUCGGGAGGCGCCAGCAGAGGCAGCGCAGUGCUGACGUCAUCGGAGGACCGAGGACCAGCAUCGCGCCGCCAUGGCUGACGGCCGACCUCAGCCCACAACACCAGGGCGCAGGGAGGGGGGGAGGAGUGGGGUCAGCGUGUUCGACCGCUUUUGACUUUUGUGAAGAAAUUGUAGGUAUGUGUUGGCCUUUUGACUUCAAGAAAAAAAAUUGCGGCUUUCGUUUGAUUUCGUUUGCUUGUCCAAUAAAGACUCAAAAAUG
Molecule: long non-coding RNA, 510 nt
Organism: Amphibalanus amphitrite
Lineage: Eukaryota; Metazoa; Arthropoda; Thecostraca; Balanomorpha; Balanidae
Exons: 2
Source: RefSeq, a predicted model, not a curated record